GUUAAGUUGCAGGGUAUAGACCCGAAACCCGGUGAUCUAGCCAUGGGCAGGUUGAAGGUUGGGUAACACUAACUGGAGGACCGAACCGACUAAUGUUGAAAAAUUAGCGGAUGACCUGUGGCUGGGGGUGAAAGGCCAAUCAAACCGGGAGAUAGCUGGUUCUCCCCGAAAGCUAUUUAGGUAGCGCCUCGUGAAUUCAUCUCCGGGGGUAGAGCACUGUUUCGGCUAGGGGGCCAUCCCGGCUUACCAACCCGAUGCAAACUGCGAAUACCGGAGAAUGUUAUCACGGGAGACACACGGCGGGUGCUAACGUCCGUCGUGAAGAGGGAAACAACCCAGACCGCCAGCUAAGGUCCCAAAGUCAUGGUUAAGUGGGAAACGAUGUGGGAAGGCCCAGACAGCCAGGAUGUUGGCUUAGAAGCAGCCAUCAUUUAAAGAAAGCGUAAUAGCUCACUGGUCGAGUCGGCCUGCGCGGAAGAUGUAACGGGGCUAAACCAUGCACCGAAGCUGCGGCAGCGAACGUAUCACCCAAGACAACUUUACGGAGUUGACGAUUGACGGAGCGAAGCGACGUCAAAGCGUUCAUUAAAGUCGAGUUGGCUUAGGGAUACGUUCGUUGGGUAGGGGAGCGUUCUGUAAGCCUGUGAAGGUGUGUCGUGAGGCAUGCUGGAGGUAUCAGAAGUGCGAAUGCUGACAUAAGUAACGAUAAAGCGGGUGAAAAGCCCGCUCGCCGGAAGACCAAGGGUUCCUGUCCAACGUUAAUCGGGGCAGGGUGAGUCGACCCCUAAGGCGAGGCCGAAAGGCGUAGUCGAUGGGAAACGGGUUAAUAUUCCCGUACUUGGUGUUACUGCGAAGGGGGGACGGAGAAGGCUAUGUUGGCCGGGCGACGGUUGUCCCGGUUUAAGCGUGUAGGUGUGUGUUCCAGGUAAAUCCGGUUCACUUUAACACUGAGGCGUGACGACGAGGCACUACGGUGCUGAAGCAACAAAUGCCCUGCUUCCAGGAAAA
Molecule: ribosomal RNA, 1008 nt
Filed under: Salmonella enterica
Lineage: Bacteria; Pseudomonadati; Pseudomonadota; Gammaproteobacteria; Enterobacterales; Enterobacteriaceae
Description: partial 23S ribosomal RNA
Rfam family: Bacterial large subunit ribosomal RNA
Source: RNAcentral